RNAcentral lists this ribosomal RNA (260 nucleotides) under uncultured bacterium. Its description in RNAcentral is "partial 16S ribosomal RNA". It matches the Rfam family "Bacterial small subunit ribosomal RNA", at positions 28 to 285 of the family's 1533-position model. The record is from RNAcentral.
GAUGAACGCUAGCGGCAGGCCUAAUACAUGCAAGCUGAACGGCAAGAUUUGUAGCAAUACGAGUCCUAGAGUAGCGUAAGGGUGCGUAACACGUAUGCAAUCUGCCCGCAACAGGAGGAUAGCUUAGCGAAAGUUGAGAUAAGACUCCAUAAGAUCACGAGAGGGCAUCUGAUUGUGAUUAAACUACAAGGGGUUGCGGAUGAGCANGCGUCUGAUUAGUUAGUUGGCGGGGUAACGGCCCACCAAGACGAUGAUCAGUA